GACGUUAUAGCUCAGUGGUAGAGUUACUUCUUAGCAUGCACAAGAUCCUGGGUUCAAUCCCCAGUACCUCCA
RNAcentral lists this transfer RNA (72 nucleotides) under Camelus bactrianus (Bactrian camel). It matches the Rfam family "tRNA". Rfam says of the family: Transfer RNA (tRNA) molecules are approximately 80 nucleotides in length. Their secondary structure includes four short double-helical elements and three loops (D, anti-codon, and T loops). RNAcentral also lists the same sequence under 2 other names. Lineage: Eukaryota; Metazoa; Chordata; Mammalia; Artiodactyla; Camelidae. The record is from Rfam by way of RNAcentral.